GAAAAAUUCCUCUUUCCAUCCAGGGACCAGAUGGCAGAGAACUCGCAGAAGCCAUGGGUUAGGGGGCUUUGCUAAGUAAGAUGUUUACUGGAGUACAUUUCUCUCCUGAUAUCAGAGAUGCGGCUGCCCCAAGCACAUUUAGAAGGUGCACUCUUGGUACAAAAGUUAAGGUUUGUUCUCUUCCGCCUGCAAAACUACAGCCAGCAACUAGAGGUGAUACCUGAAUGUAUCCGGAUUGACGAUCUUCAUCCCUGGAAAACAUGACUCCCAGAAUCCAGCGGUGGGGGAGGGGGGGGUCGCAUGGCGGGAGAACAGCUCCUCCCAGUGUGCCUCAACACAGGGCAUCCAACACCCACUUGUCACUCCCAAGGCUGACUGAUGAAUAAUGUUCCCAAGUCUCGCUGCACGCCUUGGCGUUGGUCUUUUCUAACAUUUCAGAGUGUGCAUUUGCUAAAUUACUUCUAUGUGCA
This 470-nucleotide long non-coding RNA is filed under the name Pan troglodytes (chimpanzee). Its description in RNAcentral is "long non-coding RNA NONPTRT004888". Lineage: Eukaryota; Metazoa; Chordata; Mammalia; Primates; Hominidae. The record is from RNAcentral.